AGAUACCUUUCCAAGGUGGUGAUUUCAUCUUUUUUGGGUUCUUACAGGAGAAUGAGGGCCUGGAGUUUCCUACUCUGCCAUCUUGCUGCUGUCACCCUCAAUAUCUCUGUUUACCAAGAGGCUCUGAAAAUCUUCCCUGAUGAGUUAAUCUUCACCUACCACAUGAGUCUCCCUGUCUCAUGCUAUGAGGAUCACUUUCGGAGCAUCGUGGGACCUGCCUAACUGGACUUGAGUUUGCCUCACCCUGCCCUAGAUAUCCCUCUAGGGAGACUCUAUCCUUGAUGUUCAGAACUUUUAUAAACCUACCACUGUUGAUUAUUACUCAGACCUUGCUUGCCUCUCCCCUCAAGCCUUUUCUCAACUAGCACAGCCAGUAUCAGGACAUUUAUAAUUCAGCUCUUUAGGACAGAACUCAAUGCCCCAUAUUCUCUUGUGUUUACUAGUUCUUCUCCUCAUAUCACUUUUUCCCAGACAUCCAAUCUCCAAAUCAUUUGUCUUUGACAAACUUUCUUCUUUGCAACUCUAGAACCCUUUGCCACCUUAUUUUAUUCCAUCUCCAUGACAACUCCCAUCUGUUCCUCCAUUACCUAGCUCAAACAAAAUAUUCAUUUUUAUCUCUCUUGUUACUUGCCUUGACCCAGCUCAUCCUCUAACCAAAUUAAUCUGUGUGGUAUCUUUGCCAGUGACCCUUGCCCUCCCCCAUCCAGGCCUUUAUUCUGACUGUUCUCACAGAUGACAACAUUUUUCCCACACCGCUUCUGACUCCAAAGUUGUAUUCAGUUUUCAAAGCCAGUUUUCUAAUCUGUAAAAUGAAAUUAAUACCCAUGUCAUGAAGGAUUAAAUAAAUAAUGUGAGUAAGGCACUUGAAAUAUAAUUAUUGUU
Molecule: long non-coding RNA, 882 nt
Filed under: Homo sapiens (human)
Lineage: Eukaryota; Metazoa; Chordata; Mammalia; Primates; Hominidae
Description: HSALNT0186773
Source: RNAcentral